This is a long non-coding RNA of Hibiscus syriacus, 145 nucleotides long. RefSeq lists it as uncharacterized. The transcript has 2 exons. The record is from RefSeq and is a predicted model, not a curated record. Lineage: Eukaryota; Viridiplantae; Streptophyta; Magnoliopsida; Malvales; Malvaceae.
UCUCCCUCUUGAAGCACAAGGUUCAGACUCUGCAGACCGAAGCUACCACCUUGUCUGCUCAGCUAACACUUUUACAGAGAGAUUCCGUUGGGCUCACAAAUCAGAACAAUGAGUUGAAGUUUCGUCUUCAAGCCAUGGAGCAACA